Molecule: long non-coding RNA, 1163 nt
Organism: Lotus japonicus
Lineage: Eukaryota; Viridiplantae; Streptophyta; Magnoliopsida; Fabales; Fabaceae
Exons: 3
Source: RefSeq, a predicted model, not a curated record
CUGAAAACAAAAACGUGAAACAUCUUCUCAUCUUGAUUUUAGUGGAUUUCAAAAACUAACUCUUGAAUUUCUGGAUUAGUUUAGAUUUAGUCAAGUAGAAGUAUUUGAGGUUAACAAUGCACCUGGUCUUAUAUUCAUUCAUCUUUAACUCAUAAAAAAAUAGGGAAAUUUAAAAUGGUCUUAUGUACCUCAUGAUCUUUUGAUUACUGAUCCAUCUGAACCGUUGCUCCAACUUAUACAGUUUGUUUAUCCAGAUAUGGUUUCUCAUCUUACAGAUCCAACCUUUUAUCAAGAAAGAGCUAUAUUAGCCCCCACAUUAGAAUCAGUUGAAAAAGUCAAUCAAUAUAUUUUAUCUUGCAUUGAAGGGGAAGAAAAAGAAUAUCUGAGUUGUGAUUCUACUUGCAAGUCUGAUGAGGACAAUGAUGUUGAAGCUGCAUGGUUAACCCCCGGAGUUUCUACAUGAAGUAAAAUGUUCUGGAAUUCCAAAUCACAAAUUGGUGUUGAAGGAAAGGGUGUCUGUCAUGCUUCUAAGAAACUUAGACCAAUCAUUUGGAUUACGUAAUGGAACUAGACUUUUAAUAGAGGAUUUGUGCCCAAAUGUGAUCGGUGCGACUGUUGUGACUGGAACAAAUUCCGGAAAAAAAGUUUACAUUGGUAGAAUGAGUUUGAUUCCACAAGACUAGAGUCUUCCAUUCAAAUUUGAAAGGCGACAGUUUCCAUCGGCUGUUUGUUACGCAAUGACCAUCAACAAGAGUCAAGGGCAGUCUUUGAGUCAUGUAGGAUUAUACCUUCCUAGACCAGUAUUCACUGAUGGUCAGUUCUACGUAGCAGUAUCAAGAGUCAAAAGUGGAAAAGGGUUAAGAAUCUUAAUACUGGAUGAUGAAGGAGAAAUUACCACUUCAACAACAAAUGUUCUCUACUGGGUGGUCUUUGAAAAUAUUUGAGGUUGCAAGAGAUAUUGUGUGGCAAAAUACCCAUGGAGUCUUUCAGCCCGACAAAUAACUGUGUUGGUGGAGACUUAUGAAAAAGAAAAAAUGUCACUUCAUCCAAAAAAAUCAAAGACAUUUUUACAUUGCUAUUAUUUAUUUUAUAAUGAAUUUUCCAGUUUAAGUGGUUUUCACAUUUUAAGGAUCUUUCCGAAUCUAUUUGUUAUGUAAUUUGGU